Molecule: long non-coding RNA, 641 nt
Filed under: Equus caballus (horse)
Lineage: Eukaryota; Metazoa; Chordata; Mammalia; Perissodactyla; Equidae
Description: lncRNA (ENSECAG00000049070.1)
Source: RNAcentral
CCUCACUACUGCAGCAGACUGUACAUGGACUGGAGUUCUUCCUGGACAAAUCACUAUCUGGAACACUAAGAAAUUUCAAUGAAGUGCUCAGAUCAUGUAUCCCUCUUCUAAGAUAUCUCAACUCCUUGAGAUAGCUGAUCUUUGCUACCACCUCUCAACAAAUUGUUCAACUGGUUUUACAAGAGCAUCAGCAAGAGUCCUCCAGACACUAUUUUUUUAGACCCGUUUUGACUCCUCAGGAUGUUUCUGAUCACCUCUGAAUUGUUCAGGAACCAAUGAUAUUUACCUUGAAUAAAAGAAGAGACUGACUAUUUGAACUUUAUCAGAACCCACUACUACAAAAACGCAGGGAGUUUUGAGACCUCUUCCCAACCCCCUUCACCACACACAUAUUUUUGUGUUCCAGGAAAUUCCUACAGGCUCAUCAACUAACCAGCUAACUGCAAGGAUUAUCCUGCCCUGGAAUAUUACCAGGAAGGUCCACCUCCACCCUUCCUCAAUAAUUCAGAGAAGACCUGUCUCCAGGUUUCCUCAAGAUUCCUUUGUAUAUUUGUCUCUAUAAAUCCUCAGUCCCCUUUCCUUUUCUUUGAGUUGCUUCUUAUUAAUGAACAUUAUCCUCAUUGUGACAGCCUGAAUAAAAU